CCCUAUGGGGUGCAGCAGGCGAGAAAACUUUGCAAUGUGCGAAAGCACGACAAGGUUAAUCCGAGUGGUUUGUGCUAAACGAACCUUUUGUCGGUCCUAGAAACACCGAUGAAUAAGGGGUGGGCAAGUUCUGGUGUCAGCCGCCGCGGUAAAACCAGCACCUCAAGUGGUCAGGAUGAUUAUUGGGCCUAAAGCAUCCGUAGCCGGCGCUAUAAGUUUUCGGUUAAAUCUGUACGCUCAACGUACAGGCUGCCGGGAAUACUGUAGCGCUAGGGAGUGGGAGAGGUAGACGGUACUCGGUAGGAAGGGGUAAAAUCCUUUGAUCUAUUGAUGACCACCUGUGGCGAAGGCGGUCUACCAGAACACGUCCGACGGUGAGGGAUGAAAGCUGGGGGAGCAAACCGGAUUAGAUACCCGGGUAGUCCCAGCUGUAAACUAUGCAAACUCAGUGAUGCAUUGGCUUGUGGCCAAUGCAGUGCUGCAGGGAAGCCGUUAAGUUUGCCGCCUGGGAAGUACGUACGCAAGUAUGAAACUUAAAGGAAUUGGCGGGGGAGCACCACAAGGGGUGAAGCCUGCGGUUCAAUUGGAGUCAACGCCAGAAAUCUUACCCGGAGAGACAGCAGAAUGAAGGUCAAGCUGAAGACUUUACCAGACAAGCUGAGAGGAAGUGCAUGGCC
RNAcentral lists this ribosomal RNA (677 nucleotides) under uncultured archaeon. RNAcentral's name for it is "bacterial SSU rRNA". It matches the Rfam family "Archaeal small subunit ribosomal RNA", at positions 321 to 999 of the family's 1478-position model. The record is from RNAcentral.